ACUCACAGAGGCCAAGUACAAGGAACGGUAUCUACUCACAGAGGCCAAGUACCAGGAAUGGUAUCUACUCACAGAGGCCAAGUACCAGGAUUUGCUCUAAAUAUUCUCUCUACCUAGAAGGAACAGACUCACGCCUUGGGAAAUGGACAGAAGAAAUGAAGGGAAAUGGUAACACAAGCGCCAUUUCCAUGGCGGUGCACAUGACACGUACUCUUCAUAAGAUCUUUCCUACCUUCUCUCUCACUCAGUUCCAUGCCUCUUCUGCUUCUCAUUUAAAAAGAACAGGCUUCUAAGAGAUAACAAGAAAAUAUAACAAAAUGAAGCAUGGAUUCCAUGAGCUCAAGAGAAGGAAUAGAAUGGAGAUUUCCAGUUGGAGUCCUUUUUGUAUCUAAUGUUUGGCUGUGGUUCUUUGCAUCUGCUCCC
Mastomys coucha (southern multimammate mouse) is the source of this 423-nucleotide long non-coding RNA. RefSeq lists it as uncharacterized. The transcript has 3 exons. Lineage: Eukaryota; Metazoa; Chordata; Mammalia; Rodentia; Muridae. The record is from RefSeq and is a predicted model, not a curated record.